This 123-nucleotide ribosomal RNA is filed under the name Xystretrum solidum. RNAcentral describes it as "partial 5.8S ribosomal RNA". It matches the Rfam family "5.8S ribosomal RNA", at positions 33 to 154 of the family's 154-position model. From Rfam's summary of the family: 5.8S ribosomal RNA (5.8S rRNA) is a component of the large subunit of the eukaryotic ribosome. It is transcribed by RNA polymerase I as part of the 45S precursor that also contains 18S and 28S rRNA. The record is from RNAcentral. Lineage: Eukaryota; Metazoa; Platyhelminthes; Trematoda; Plagiorchiida; Gorgoderidae.
UGUCGAUGAAGAGCGCAGCCAACUGUGUGAAUUAAUGUGAACUGCAUGCUGCUUUGAACAUCGACAACUUGAACGCAUAUUGCGGUCACAGGCUAGCCUGUGGCCACGCCUGUCCGAGGGUCG